AGCGAACGCUGGCGGCGGGCUUAACACAUGCAAGUCGAGCGGGCACUUUCGGGUGUCAGCGGCGGACGGGUGAGUAACGCGUGGGAACGUGCCCUCUGGUUCGGAAUAACUCAGGGAAACUUGAGCUAAUACCGGAUACGCCCUUUUGGGGAAAGGCUUGCUGCCGGAGGAUCGGCCCGCGUCUGAUUAGCUAGUUGGUGAGGUAACGGCUCACCAAGGCGACGAUCAGUAGCUGGUCUGAGAGGAUGAUCAGCCACACUGGGACUGAGACACGGCCCAGACUCCUACGGGAAGCAGCAGUGGGGAAUAUUGGACAAUGGGCGCAAGCCUGAUCCAGCCAUGCCGCGUGAGUGAUGAAGGCCUUAGGGUUGUAAAGCUCUUUUAUCCGGGACGAUAAUGACGGUACCGGAGGAAUAAGCCCCGGCUAACUUCGUG
This 435-nucleotide ribosomal RNA is filed under the name uncultured bacterium. Its description in RNAcentral is "partial 16S ribosomal RNA". It matches the Rfam family "Bacterial small subunit ribosomal RNA", at positions 29 to 507 of the family's 1533-position model. The record is from RNAcentral.